UACGUAGGGGGCAAGCGUUAUCCGGAAUCAUUGGGCGUAAAGAGCUCGUAGGCGGUUUCGUUAGUCGGGUGUGAAAACCCCAGGCUCAACCUGGGGACGCCACCCGAUACUGCGAUGACUAGAGUCCGGUAGGGGAGUGUGGAAUUCCUGGUGUAGCGGUGAAAUGCGCAGAUAUCAGGAGGAACACCAACGGCGAAGGCAGCACUCUGGGCCGGAACUGACGCUGAGGAGCGAAAGCGUGGGUAGCGAACAGG
This 254-nucleotide ribosomal RNA is filed under the name uncultured bacterium. Its description in RNAcentral is "partial 16S ribosomal RNA". It matches the Rfam family "Bacterial small subunit ribosomal RNA", at positions 524 to 776 of the family's 1533-position model. The record is from RNAcentral.